ACGCUCGACACCUACGGGAGACAGCAGUGAGGAAUAUUGGUCAAUGGGCGCAGGCCUGAACCAGCCAAGUAGCGUGAAGGAUGACUGCCCUAUGGGUUGUAAACUUCUUUUAUAUGGGAAUAAAGUUUUCCACGUGUGGAAUUUUGUAUGUACCAUAUGAAUAAGGAUCGGCUAACUCCGUGACAGCAGCCGCGGUAAUCUGAGCGGGCUGGCAAGGC
Molecule: ribosomal RNA, 218 nt
Filed under: uncultured bacterium
Lineage: Bacteria
Description: partial 16S ribosomal RNA
Rfam family: Bacterial small subunit ribosomal RNA
Source: RNAcentral